UACGAAGGGGCUAGCGUUGCUCGGAAUCACUGGCGUAAAGGGUGCGUAGGCGGGUCUUUAAGUCAGGGGUGAAAUCCUGGAGCUCAACUCCAGAACUGCCUUUGAUACUGAGGAUCUUGAGUUCGGGAGAGGUGAGUGGAACUGCGAGUGUAGAGGUGAAAUUCGUAGAUAUUCGCAAGAACACCAGUGGCGAAGGCGGCUCACUGGCCCGAUAACUGACGCUGAGGCACGGAAAGCGUGGGAGCAAACAGG
This 252-nucleotide ribosomal RNA is filed under the name uncultured bacterium. RNAcentral's name for it is "partial 16S ribosomal RNA". It matches the Rfam family "Bacterial small subunit ribosomal RNA", at positions 524 to 776 of the family's 1533-position model. The record is from RNAcentral.